ACGCACGCUGGCGGCGUGCUUAACACAUGCAAGUCGAACGCUGAAGCCCCAGCUUGCUGGUGUGGAUGAGUGGCGAACGGGUGAGUAAUACGUGAGUAACCUGCCCUUGACUCUGGGAUAAGCCCGGGAAACUGGGUCUAAUACUGGAUGCUACAUGUCACCGCAUGGUGGUGUGUGGAAAGGGUUUACUGGUCUUGGAUGGGCUCACGGCCUAUCAGCUUGUUGGUGAGGUAAUGGCUCACCAAGGCGACGACGGGUAGCCGGCCUGAGAGGGUGACCGGCCACACUGGGACUGAGACACGGCCCAGACUCCUACGGGAGGCAGCAGUGGGGAAUAUUGCACAAUGGGCGAAAGCCUGAUGCAGCGACGCCGCGUGAGGGAUGACGGCCUUCGGGUUGUAAACCUCUUUCAGCAGGGAAGAAGCCACAAGUGACGGUACCUGCAGAAGAAGCGCCGGCUAACUACGUG
This 469-nucleotide ribosomal RNA is filed under the name uncultured bacterium. RNAcentral describes it as "partial 16S ribosomal RNA". It matches the Rfam family "Bacterial small subunit ribosomal RNA", at positions 29 to 507 of the family's 1533-position model. The record is from RNAcentral.